GCAGUUGAGCGCUGAGGUUGGUACUUGUACCGACUGGAUGAGCAGCGAACGGGUGAGUAACGCGUGGGGAAUCUGCCUUUGAGCGGGGGACAACAUUUGGAAACGAAUGCUAAUACCGCAUAAAAACUUUAAACACAAGUUUUAAGUUUGAAAGAUGCAAUUGCAUCACUCAAAGAUGAUCCCGCGUUGUAUUAGCUAGUUGGUGAGGUAAAGGCUCACCAAGGCGAUGAUACAUAGCCGACCUGAGAGGGUGAUCGGCCACAUUGGGACUGAGACACGGCCCAAACUCCUACGGGAGGCAGCAGUAGGGAAUCUUCGGCAAUGGACGAAAGUCUGACCGAGCAACGCCGCGUGAGUGAAGAAGGUUUUCGGAUCGUAAAACUCUGUUGGUAGAGAAGAACGUUGGUGAGAGUGGAAAGCUCAUCAAGUGACGGUAACUACCCAGAAAGGGACGGCUAACUACGUGCCAGCAGCCGCGGUAAUACGUAGGUCCCGAGCGUUGUCCGGAUUUAUUGGGCGUAAAGCGAGCGCAGGUGGUUUAUUAAGUCUGGUGUAAAAGGCAGUGGCUCAACCAUUGUAUGCAUUGGAAACUGGUAGACUUGAGUGCAGGAGAGGAGAGUGGAAUUCCAUGUGUAGCGGUGAAAUGCGUAGAUAUAUGGAGGAACACCGGUGGCGAAAGCGGCUCUCUGGCCUGUAACUGACACUGAGGCUCGAAAGCGUGGGGAGCAAACAGGAUUAGAUACCCUGGUAGUCCACGCCGU
Molecule: ribosomal RNA, 761 nt
Filed under: Lactococcus lactis
Lineage: Bacteria; Bacillati; Bacillota; Bacilli; Lactobacillales; Streptococcaceae
Description: bacterial SSU rRNA
Rfam family: Bacterial small subunit ribosomal RNA
Source: RNAcentral